GACGUAGGGCGCGAGCGUUGUCCGGAUUUAUUGGGCGUAAAGCGCUCGUAGGCGGCUUGUCGCGUCGGAUGUGAAAACCCGGGGCUCAACCCCGGGCCUGCAUUCGAUACGGGCAGACUAGAGUUCGGUAGGGGAGUCUGGAAUUCCUGGUGUAGCGGUGAAAUGCGCAGAUAUCAGGAGGAACACCGGUGGCGAAGGCGGGACUCUGGGCCGAUACUGACGCUGAGGAGCGAAAGCGUGGGGAGCAAACAGG
Molecule: ribosomal RNA, 253 nt
Filed under: uncultured bacterium
Lineage: Bacteria
Description: partial 16S ribosomal RNA
Rfam family: Bacterial small subunit ribosomal RNA
Source: RNAcentral